Small nucleolar RNA from Salvia hispanica, 134 nucleotides. RefSeq annotates it as small nucleolar RNA snoR74. The record is from RefSeq and is a predicted model, not a curated record. NCBI's taxonomy places the organism in Eukaryota, Viridiplantae, Streptophyta, Magnoliopsida, Lamiales, Lamiaceae.
AUAAAAGCAGGGAUCUAUUGCCAUUUGUGAAUUUAUCUCUCGUAAACACCAGGGAUAGAAGUUGUGCAAUGUUAUAUGGUGAACCACUUGACAUUUUCUUAUGAUUUGAUGGUUCAGUAAACAAUGCUACAUCC